RNAcentral lists this long non-coding RNA (216 nucleotides) under Elaeis guineensis (African oil palm). RNAcentral describes it as "long non-coding RNA (EGUI_LNC077668)". Lineage: Eukaryota; Viridiplantae; Streptophyta; Magnoliopsida; Arecales; Arecaceae. The record is from RNAcentral.
GCGACCGAUGAGUUGCACGAUUUACCAUGUGGUCCCGAUCGAAAGAUUAAUCACUACGUAUUUUGUAUCAUUGGAGGAAUGAGAUUUCACAUAAGAGAGUUUGAGAUGCAACGACUUAUUCAGAAUAGUGGAAUUGCUACAACAGGAUAUGAAGGAGAAGAAGAGAUUGAUUAUUAUGGUGUACUGGUAGAUAUCAUAGAACCGAAGUAUGCGUCU